This 527-nucleotide ribosomal RNA is filed under the name uncultured Acinetobacter sp. RNAcentral describes it as "bacterial SSU rRNA". It matches the Rfam family "Bacterial small subunit ribosomal RNA", at positions 350 to 868 of the family's 1533-position model. Lineage: Bacteria; Pseudomonadati; Pseudomonadota; Gammaproteobacteria; Moraxellales; Moraxellaceae. The record is from RNAcentral.
AGCAGUGGGGAAUAUUGGACAAUGGGCGAAAGCCUGAUCCAGCCAUGCCGCGUGUGUGAAGAAGGCCUUUUGGUUGUAAAGCACUUUAAGCGAGGAGGAGGCUACUUAGAUUAAUACUCUAGGAUAGUGGACGUUACUCGCAGAAUAAGCACCGGCUAACUCUGUGCCAGCAGCCGCGGUAAUACAGAGGGUGCGAGCGUUAAUCGGAUUUACUGGGCGUAAAGCGUGCGUAGGCGGCUUUUUAAGUCGGAUGUGAAAUCCCUGAGCUUAACUUAGGAAUUGCAUUCGAUACUGGGAAGCUAGAGUAUGGGAGAGGAUGGUAGAAUUCCAGGUGUAGCGGUGAAAUGCGUAGAGAUCUGGAGGAAUACCGAUGGCGAAGGCAGCCAUCUGGCCUAAUACUGACGCUGAGGUACGAAAGCAUGGGGAGCAAACAGGAUUAGAUACCCUGGUAGUCCAUGCCGUAAACGAUGUCUACUAGCCGUUGGGGCCUUUGAGGCUUUAGUGGCGCAGCUAACGCGAUAAGUAGA